UACGUAGGUGGCAAGCGUUGUCCGGAAUUAUUGGGCGUAAAGCGCGCGCAGGUGGUUUCUUAAGUCUGAUGUGAAAGCCCACGGCUCAACCGUGGAGGGUCAUUGGAAACUGGGGAACUUGAGUGCAGGAGAGAAGAGUGGAACUCCACGUGUAGCGGUGAAAUGCGUAGAGAUGUGGAGGAACACCAGUGGCGAAGGCGACUCUUUGGCCUGUAACUGACACUGAGGCGCGAAAGCGUGGGGAGCAAACAGG
This 253-nucleotide ribosomal RNA is filed under the name uncultured bacterium. Its description in RNAcentral is "partial 16S ribosomal RNA". It matches the Rfam family "Bacterial small subunit ribosomal RNA", at positions 524 to 776 of the family's 1533-position model. The record is from RNAcentral.